RNAcentral lists this ribosomal RNA (585 nucleotides) under uncultured bacterium. RNAcentral describes it as "partial 16S ribosomal RNA". It matches the Rfam family "Bacterial small subunit ribosomal RNA", at positions 355 to 937 of the family's 1533-position model. The record is from RNAcentral.
UGAGGAAUAUUGCGCAAUGGGCGAAAGCCUGACGCAGCGACGCCGCGUGGAGGAUGAAGGUUUUCGGAUUGUAAACUCCUGUUAAGUGGGAAGAAACGACAAAAUAUAAUACAUUUUGUAACUGACGGUACCAUUAAAGAAAGCACCGGCUAACUUCGUGCCAGCAGCCGCGGUAAUACGAGGGGUGCAAGCGUUAUUCGGAAUUAUUGGGCGUAAAGGGUGCGUAGGCGGCGUAUUAAGUCAACUGUUAAAACCUCCAGCCUAACUGGAGAUCAGCAGUAGAUACUGGUAUGCUAGAGGAUGGAAGAGAGAAGUGGAAUUCUUGGAGUAGCGGUGGAAUGCGUAGAUCUCAAGAGGAACACCAAUGGCGAAGGCAGCUUCUUGGUCCAUAUCUGACGCUGAUGCACGAAAGCGCGGGGAGCAAACAGGAUUAGAUACCCUGGUAGUCCACGCCGUAAACGAUGAUCACUAGAUGUUAAUUCUGCUUGCAGAAUUAGUGUCGUAGCUAACGCGAUAAGUGAUCCGCCUGGGGACUACGGUCGCAAGAUUAAACUCAAAGGAAUUGACGGGGUCAUAGCUGUUUCC